CUUCAAUAUCCUUUUCCACCAGAGUCUUCUAAAAGUUGCCAAAAGCAUUGUGGAGAAGCUCAUUUUGAUCUGGGUUGUUUGCUGAGCGCAGCUGGUUCAGAACUCAUAGGACUCCUUAAGCCGCCCUUGGACCCUUGGAUCUGGCCUCUGCACGCAGGCUUUCUUCAAGCACACUGGUGCUUGGACUGAACUUUAUAGACAAAAUUCUGGCGCCCAAAGCAACCUAAACCAAAUGAGAAAGCCAAGGAUAAAAAAUUGUUAAGUGAAUUGUUUAAAUUUAAUGGUACCAAAGAAGAGAG
Molecule: long non-coding RNA, 299 nt
Organism: Eptesicus fuscus (big brown bat)
Lineage: Eukaryota; Metazoa; Chordata; Mammalia; Chiroptera; Vespertilionidae
Exons: 4
Source: RefSeq, a predicted model, not a curated record